Molecule: ribosomal RNA, 460 nt
Filed under: Burkholderia multivorans
Lineage: Bacteria; Pseudomonadati; Pseudomonadota; Betaproteobacteria; Burkholderiales; Burkholderiaceae
Description: bacterial SSU rRNA
Rfam family: Bacterial small subunit ribosomal RNA
Source: RNAcentral
AGUCGAACGGCAGCACGGGUGCUUGCACCUGGUGGCGAGUGGCGAACGGGUGAGUAAUACAUCGGAACAUGUCCUGUAGUGGGGGAUAGCCCGGCGAAAGCCGGAUUAAUACCGCAUACGAUCUACGGAUGAAAGCGGGGGACCUUCGGGCCUCGCGCUAUAGGGUUGGCCGAUGGCUGAUUAGCUAGUUGGUGGGGUAAAGGCCUACCAAGGCGACGAUCAGUAGCUGGUCUGAGAGGACGACCAGCCACACUGGGACUGAGACACGGCCCAGACUCCUACGGGAGGCAGCAGUGGGGAAUUUUGGACAAUGGGCGAAAGCCUGAUCCAGCAAUGCCGCGUGUGUGAAGAAGGCCUUCGGGUUGUAAAGCACUUUUGUCCGGAAAGAAAUCCCUGGCUCUAAUACAGUCGGGGGAUGACGGUACCGGAAGAAUAAGCACCGGCUAACUACGUGCCAGCA